Molecule: ribosomal RNA, 253 nt
Filed under: uncultured bacterium
Lineage: Bacteria
Description: partial 16S ribosomal RNA
Rfam family: Bacterial small subunit ribosomal RNA
Source: RNAcentral
UACGGGGGGGGCAAGCGUUGUUCGGAAUUACUGGGCGUAAAGGGUUCGUAGGUGGCUUGCUAAGUCAGACGUGAAAUCCCUCAGCUUAACUGGGGAACUGCGUCUGAGACUGGCAAGCUUGAGUGCAGGAGAGGAAUGCGGAAUUCCAGGUGUAGCGGUGAAAUGCGUAGAUAUCUGGAGGAACACCGGUGGCGAAGGCGGCAUCCUGGACCGGCAUUGACGCUGAGGAGCGAAAGCCAGGGGAGCAAACGGG